RNAcentral lists this ribosomal RNA (253 nucleotides) under uncultured bacterium. Its description in RNAcentral is "partial 16S ribosomal RNA". It matches the Rfam family "Bacterial small subunit ribosomal RNA", at positions 524 to 776 of the family's 1533-position model. The record is from RNAcentral.
GACGGAGGAUGCAAGCGUUAUCCGGAAUGAUUGGGCGUAAAGCGUCCGCAGGUGGCAGUUCAAGUCUGCUGUCAAAGACCGGGGCUUAACUUCGGAAAGGCAGUGGAAACUGAACAGCUAGAGUAUGGUAGGGGCAGAGGGAAUUCCUGGUGUAGCGGUGAAAUGCGUAGAGAUCAGGAAGAACAUCGGUGGCGAAGGCGCUCUGCUGGACCAUAACUGACACUCAGGGACGAAAGCUAGGGGAGCAAACGGG